AAGAAGAGAAGCCAAGUGCAAACACAUGGUCCACUACAGAUUUGCUGUUGAGACACAUUAUUGUGAGUGUGGGUUUAGCGGGUCUCCUCAUCUGUGUGGCAGCUGUUCACAUCUGGACCAGGACCAAAGAAUUACAAACUGAGAGGAGUCCACACAGAAUGAGCCGCAGAAACAGAUUGGACUUGGAUGAUUAUAUUUAUGAAAAUAUGGGAGAAGUUUCUGUUUAAACAUUCAACGAAUUCACUACCAGACCAUCUGCUGCCACUUAGGGCUGUCAAAAGUAUCAA
Long non-coding RNA from Periophthalmus magnuspinnatus, 287 nucleotides. RefSeq lists it as uncharacterized. The transcript has 4 exons. NCBI's taxonomy places the organism in Eukaryota, Metazoa, Chordata, Actinopteri, Gobiiformes, Gobiidae. The record is from RefSeq and is a predicted model, not a curated record.